RNA transcript from Dendrobium catenatum, 1928 nucleotides. RefSeq lists it as uncharacterized. Lineage: Eukaryota; Viridiplantae; Streptophyta; Magnoliopsida; Asparagales; Orchidaceae. The record is from RefSeq and is a predicted model, not a curated record.
AAAAUUGCAGGAGCGAGUUUGUGUUGCUGGUUGCAACCCCGCAGUGAUAGAAUCUCCAAGUGAACCAAGAUGGUCCCCCAAAGGCGAACUUUUUUUUGUCAGCGAUAGAAACAAUGGAUUUUGGAACAUCUAUAAAUGGAAUGAAUACAAAGAUGAGGUGAUCCCGGUCUAUUCACUAGAAGCAGAGUUUACUAGACCAUUGUGGGUUUUUGGAAUCAGUUCUUAUGAUUUUCUUGGAGAUGAAGAACGUCAUAGUAUUGUUUGCAGCUACAGGCUGAAUGGGAGGUCAUAUUUGGGAAUUUUAAAUGAUGUUGACGGUUCAUAUUCAGCUCUUGAUACUCCUUUUACUGAUGUUGGCAAUGUUGUUGUUGGAUCGAAUUGCUUGUUUAUUGAAGGAGCAUCUGCAUCACAUGCAGUAUCUGUUGUGAAGAUCACUCUAGAUAGCAACAAUAAACAAGUACCAUUGUUUUCAGUAAUUUGGUCUUCGUCAACAGAUGCUGCAAAAUACAAAUCAUAUUUCAGUUUGCCAGAGAUUGUAAAAUUUCCUACAGGGACUGGUGAAGAUGCUUAUGCAUAUUUCUACUCCCCAUCAAAUCCUGAUUAUCAAGCCCCCGUUGAUGAAAAGCCGCCCUUAAUUGUCAAAAGCCAUGGAGGGCCAACAUCUGAGACGCGUGGAAUAUUGGAUUUGAAUAUACAAUAUUGGACUAGUCGAGGUUGGGCAUUUGUUGAUGUCAACUAUGGAGGAAGCACUGGUUAUGGUAGAGAGUACAGAGAGCGGUUGUUAGGACAAUGGGGUGUUGUAGAUGUAAAUGACUGCUGCCAAUGUGCCAGAUUUCUGGUUGAAGAAGGAAAGGUGGAUAAGAAACGACUCUGUAUAACUGGGAGAUCAGCUGGUGGGUACACCACACUAGCUUGCCUUGCUUUCACUGAAACUUUCAAGGCUGGUGCUUCAUUGUAUGGUGUGGCUGACUUGUCAUUGCUGAGAGAAGAGACUCAUAAAUUUGAGUCCCACUAUAUUGACAGACUUGUUGGGGAUGAAAAAGCUUAUUUUGAGAGGUCCCCUAUAAACUUUGUUGACAAAUUUACUUGCCCAGUGAUCUUGUUCCAAGGAUUAGAUGACAAGAUUGUUCUGCCAGAUCAAGCCCAAAAGAUUUACAAAGCCUUGAAGGAAAAGGGUUUACCUGUUGCUUUAGUGGAGUAUGAAGGAGAACAGCAUGGAUUUCGCAAGGCUGAAAACAUCAAGUUCACUUUGGAGCAGCAAAUGCUGUUUUUUGCUCGAACUGUAGGCCACUUCAAAGUAGCUGAUCCAAUUGUUCCGAUCAAAAUCGACAACUUUGAUUGAGCUUUUCGUUGAUAUUUCCAGGUUUUUCUGUUGCAAGGUUUUCAACCUUUUUGUUUCAUUCUCAUAAACUUAAUCGGCGGCUUGGAUUUACCAACACAGCUACUGAGGUUGCGCCUUAUUGAAGAGAAAUACAUAUAGAAGACAAAUGAUGAUUUAUCAACAAUAAUUCUCUUUAUUUUUCUAGCUUCACGCAUGUAUACCAGAUAUUAUUUGCCUUGAAGACUCUAAACAGCCUCAGCAUGCCAAGAGAGCCAGCUAUAAUGCCAUAAGGAGCUGGAAAUCGAAAGCGUCCAGGUUUUUUCAUAGCUAUUCAGUCCAUCCUCUUUUUAGACCUGGUAUUUCUAACUUUCUGGAAGUCUACUAACUGGCUACUGCUUUGCUUGUUUGAUGUAAUUUUUUUUAUGUGAUCUUAGAUUGUUAAAAGGUGGUUGAUUUAAUACUAAUCUCACAUAAUGAGGUAAUUUGAAUAGAAUUAGUGAAUUAGAUUGAAGUUAUUUGGUAGGCAAUCAAAUUUGAUGAUGAUUACAUAUUCUCAUUAUUGGUGACAAUAAGGGAAAAAAUCAUAAUCAACCUUAGUCAUUCUAAA